Molecule: ribosomal RNA, 253 nt
Filed under: uncultured bacterium
Lineage: Bacteria
Description: partial 16S ribosomal RNA
Rfam family: Bacterial small subunit ribosomal RNA
Source: RNAcentral
UACGGAGGGUGCAAGCGUUAUCCGGAUUUACUGGGUUUAAAGGGCGCGUAGGCGGGUUAGCAAGUCUGUGGUGAAAUCCUCCGGCUCAACCGGAGAACUGCCUCGGAUACUGCGGGUCUCGAGGGUGAUAGGGGUAUGCGGAACUAUCGGUGGAGCGGUGAAAUGCGUUGAUAUCGAUAGGAACUCCGGUGGCGAAGGCGGCAUACUGGAUCACUUCUGACGCUGAGGCGCGAAAGCCAGGGGAGCAAACGGG